CCUACGGGUGGCAGCAGUGGGGAAUAUUGCGCAAUGGGCGAAAGCCUGACGCAGCGACGCCGCGUGAGGGAUGAAGGUUUUCGGAUCGUAAACCUCUGUCAGAAGGGAAGAAGUUGCAUGGGGCCAAUCACCUGUGCAUUGACGGUACCUUCAAAGGAAGCACCGGCUAACUCCGUGCCAGCAGCCGCGGUAAUACGGAGGGUGCGAGCGUUAAUCGGAAUUAAUGGGCGUAAAGCGCACGUAGGCUGUAUGUCAAGUCAAGGGUGAAAUCCCACGGCUCAACCGUGGAACUGCCUUUGAAACUGGCAAACUGGAGUAUGUGAGAGGGCGGCGGAAUUCCUGGUGUAGGAGUGAAAUCCGUAGAUAUCUGGAGGAACAUCAGUGGCGAAGGCGACUAUCUGGCACAUAACUGACGCUGAGGAGCGAAAGCGUGGGUAGCAAACAGGAUUAGAUACCCCAGUAGUC
RNAcentral lists this ribosomal RNA (465 nucleotides) under uncultured bacterium. Its description in RNAcentral is "partial 16S ribosomal RNA". It matches the Rfam family "Bacterial small subunit ribosomal RNA", at positions 338 to 795 of the family's 1533-position model. The record is from RNAcentral.